RNAcentral lists this ribosomal RNA (326 nucleotides) under uncultured Bacteroidota bacterium. RNAcentral describes it as "bacterial SSU rRNA". It matches the Rfam family "Bacterial small subunit ribosomal RNA", at positions 28 to 351 of the family's 1533-position model. Lineage: Bacteria; Pseudomonadati; Bacteroidota. The record is from RNAcentral.
GAUGAACGCUAGCGGCAGGCCUAAUACAUGCAAGUCGAACGGUAAGUUGAAUAGCAAUAUUUGACCUAGAGUGACGUACGGGUGCGUAACACGUAUGCAACCUACCUUGUACAGGAGGAUAGCUCGGGGAAACUCGAAUUAACCCUCCAUAAGAUCGUGAAGUGGCAUCACUUAGCGAUAAAAACUCUGGUGGUACAAGAUGGGCAUGCGUCUGAUUAGUUAGUUGGCGGGGUAACGGCCCACCAAGACGAUGAUCAGUAGGGGAACUGAGAGGUUGAUCCCCCACACUGGCACUGAGAUACGGGCCAGACUCCUACGGGUGGCAG